CGUUGUCCGCGUUGAUGGAGACCAGGGAAGAGAGGGGCAGGUGGCCGUUGUCCGCGUUGAUGGAGACCAGGGAAGAGAGGGGCAGCCACAGAAUAGCGUCUUGACUCGGACCCAGCCAGAGACCCUCCCAGAAAAACAAAGAGAAGCAAGACUUGCCUUUGUCUAAGAAAUCGCUCUCCUCCCGCCUCCAUUGCACUUUCCGUCACGCUCUUCCAGGGAAUGUCGCCAAGCUGAACCUCAGACAGAGCUGGGAAACAGUCUUUUGCCCCACAACCUUUGUAGACGGCCUAGUGAAUAAGCCUUUCCAGAGGCUCAGACUUGCUGGCUCAAAAAUCUGCCUGGGCUCUCAACCGCUGGUUUACCACACUGGAUCCGUGCGUCACCGAGCAUGCACAAUGCCUGUGGUUUAAUUCGCCUUCUUAGUCAACAGCGCCACCAUGCGUUCGCUUGCAGUUACAAAAUCUUGGAGAAGGUGUUUUUAUUUUGCUUUAUCGAUUAUUCUUAUCAACCCUAGUUGACGCUACUGGAGGAGUUUCUCAUGUUAUAUGAAUUAAAUAAAUGCAAUCUAGGGAAAUAAAAUGCACUUUUAUCUACGAGCAGCGAUUCUUCCUGGUAGAGUCCUCAUUUACACGAUUUAACGGAAGUGUACACAUACUAGUUUACCCCUCCCCUUUUGUAAUAAUUACACACAAACUUCAAAAGAUUUUUGCUCUAGAUGAUAGCAUGCUUCACUAUCCUAUUUAUGUUUUUCUUUUUUUCCUAAACUUUGUGAAAUGAGCCCGAAUU
This 786-nucleotide long non-coding RNA is filed under the name Homo sapiens (human). RNAcentral's name for it is "HSALNT0329865". The record is from RNAcentral. Lineage: Eukaryota; Metazoa; Chordata; Mammalia; Primates; Hominidae.